This 396-nucleotide ribosomal RNA is filed under the name uncultured bacterium. Its description in RNAcentral is "bacterial SSU rRNA". It matches the Rfam family "Bacterial small subunit ribosomal RNA", at positions 28 to 431 of the family's 1533-position model. The record is from RNAcentral.
GACGAACGCUGGCGGCGUGCUUAACACAUGCAAGUCGAGCGGUAAGGCCCUUUCGGGGGUACACGAGCGGCGAACGGGUGAGUAACACGUGGGUGACCUGCCCUCAGCUCUGGGAUAAGCCUGGGAAACCGGGUCUAAUACUGGAUAUGACUCCAUGACGCAUGUUGUGGGGUGGAAAGCCUUGUGCGGCUGAGGAUGGGCCCGCGGCCUAUCAGCUUGUUGGUGGGGUGAGGCCUACCAAGGCGACGACGGGUAGCCGGCCUGAGAGGGCGACCGGCCACACUGGGACUGAGACACGGCCCAGACUCCUACGGGAGGCAGCAGUGGGGAAUCUUGCGCAAUGGGCGAAAGCCUGACGCAGCGACGCCGCGUGAGGGAUGACGGCCUGUGUAACUC